Molecule: ribosomal RNA, 324 nt
Filed under: uncultured eukaryote
Lineage: Eukaryota
Description: partial 18S ribosomal RNA
Rfam family: Eukaryotic small subunit ribosomal RNA
Source: RNAcentral
CCCUUAGAUGCUCUGGGCCGCACGCGCGCUACACUGGUCGAUGCAACGAGUUUCUUUCCCUGGCCGACAGGCCUGGGCAAUCUUUGAACAUCGAUCGUGAUCGGGAUAGAUUCUUGUAAUUUUUGAUCUUAAACGAGGAAUUCCUAGUAAACGCAAGUCAUCAGCUUGCAUUGAUUACGUCCCUGCCCUUUGUACACACCGCCCGUCGCACCUACCGAUUGAAUGGUCCGGUGAAAUCUCCGGACUGGCGUGAGUCGGAGCAAUCUGACAAACACCGGAAAGUUGAUUAAACCUUACCAUUUAGAGGAAGGUGAAGUCGUAACA